CCCUCUUCGGCAUAUGUAUAUAAAUCAAGCAGGCUUGGUUCCUUUCUACCACAAACAAAGGCUCACUCCAGACUGGUGUCCGUGGUAACCAAAAUCAUCACAAAAAGAGAUAUCUGAGAAGACAAUUAACAACCAAUCAGUCACAUCGAAGGCCACUGAAAUCAGUUCACAGAGUCGUGUGUCUGAUCUGAAGAGAAGCUGAACAGAAUGAUGUCAUCGUGUGUUCUGAUGAUGCUCCUGUUCUUUAAGCAUGUUACUGCAGACAACUCAGGUGUGACUGUUGCCAAAUCUAUCCAGUUUAGCUGUGGGGGCACACAGUGUCCAGUGGGACAGGACUGUAUCAGU
This is a long non-coding RNA of Salvelinus sp. IW2-2015, 345 nucleotides long. RefSeq lists it as uncharacterized. NCBI's taxonomy places the organism in Eukaryota, Metazoa, Chordata, Actinopteri, Salmoniformes, Salmonidae. The record is from RefSeq and is a predicted model, not a curated record.